AGAGUUUGAUCCUGGCUCAGGACGAACGCUGGCGGCGUGCUUAACACAUGCAAGUCGAACGGUGACCCUGGAGCUUGCUCCGGGCGAUCAGUGGCGAACGGGUGAGUAACACGUGAGUAACCUGCCCCAGACUCUGGGAUAACCUCGGGAAACCGGGGCUAAUACCGGAUACGAGACGCUCGGGCAUCCGAAGCGUCUGGAAAGAUUUAUCGGUCUGGGAUGGACUCGCGGCCUAUCAGCUUGUUGGUGAGGUAACGGCUCACCAAGGCGACGACGGGUAGCCGGCCUGAGAGGGCGACCGGCCACACUGGAACUGAGACACGGUCCAGACUCCUACGGGAGGCAGCAGUGGGGAAUAUUGCACAAUGGGCGCAAGCCUGAUGCAGCAACGCCGCGUGGGGGAUGAAGGCCUUCGGGUUGUAAACCCCUUUUAGCAGGGAAGAAGCGAAAGUGACGGUACCUGCAGAAAAAGCGUCGGCUAACUACGUGCCAGCAGCCGCGGUAAUACGUAGGACGCAAGCGUUGUCCGGAAUUAUUGGGCGUAAAGAGCUCGUAGGCGGUUUGUCGCGUCUGCUGUGAAAAUCCGAGGCUCAACCUCGGACCUGCAGUGGGUACGGGCAGACUAGAGUGUGGUAGGGGAGACUGGAAUUCCUGGUGUAGCGGUGGAAUGCGCAGAUAUCAGGAGGAACACCAAUGGCGA
RNAcentral lists this ribosomal RNA (700 nucleotides) under uncultured bacterium. RNAcentral's name for it is "bacterial SSU rRNA". It matches the Rfam family "Bacterial small subunit ribosomal RNA", at positions 8 to 718 of the family's 1533-position model. The record is from RNAcentral.